UUUAAAAUAAUAAUAAUAAUAAUAAACUGUUAUUUUAAAGCGAAUUCUAAUAGUAACUGAGAUUGAACAGAUUUUUGAGCCAUUAAUUAUAUUGCCUCAGUCUUUAUGAUUGUCUCCUCCAUUCAGAAGCUUUCCCGUUAUUUCCUGAAACAACGGACAAUUCUAUUUUACAUCAAUAUGCUCCUCAUCAUUAUUCCUGGAGCUGCAGUUGAACAACAUCUGGUUUCUCAUCCUCCCAGGAGCAACCUGCAAUACAUUUUAGGACCGACUAUACAGUUUGCAUCAUAUUAUGAUAGUUAUUAUAACAUAUGAUAACUUUGGUGUCAAGAACUAACUAUCAAUAGCAUUGUUACUGCUAG
This 359-nucleotide long non-coding RNA is filed under the name Androctonus crassicauda. The record is from RNAcentral. Lineage: Eukaryota; Metazoa; Arthropoda; Arachnida; Scorpiones; Buthidae.